RNAcentral lists this ribosomal RNA (254 nucleotides) under uncultured bacterium. RNAcentral's name for it is "partial 16S ribosomal RNA". It matches the Rfam family "Bacterial small subunit ribosomal RNA", at positions 524 to 777 of the family's 1533-position model. The record is from RNAcentral.
UACGUAGGGUGCAAGCGUUGUCCGGAAUUAUUGGGCGUAAAGAGCUUGUAGGCGGUUUGUCGCGUCUGCUGUGAAAUUUCGGGGCUCAACCCCGAACUUGCAGUGGGUACGGGCAGACUAGAGUGUGGUAGGGGAGACUGGAAUUCCUGGUGUAGCGGUGAAAUGCGCAGAUAUCGGGAGGAACACCAGUGGCGAAGGCGGCACUCUGGGCCGGUACUGACGCUGAGGAGCGAAAGCGUGGGGAGCAAAGCGGG